UGGGUAAUCUGCCCUCGAUUCUGGGAUAGCCCGGGGAAACCCGGAUUAAUACCGGAUAGCCUCUCGAGCUCUCGGGCUCGUGAGAAAAGGUAGCUUCGGCCUCCGAUCGAGGAUGAGCCCGCGGCGGAUUAGCUUGUUGGUGGGGUAACGGCUCACCAAGGCAACGAUCCGUAGCUGGUCUGAGAGGACGAUCAGCCACACUGGGACUGAGACACGGUCCAGACUCCUACGGGAGCAG
Molecule: ribosomal RNA, 238 nt
Filed under: uncultured bacterium
Lineage: Bacteria
Description: partial 16S ribosomal RNA
Rfam family: Bacterial small subunit ribosomal RNA
Source: RNAcentral